Molecule: ribosomal RNA, 252 nt
Filed under: uncultured bacterium
Lineage: Bacteria
Description: partial 16S ribosomal RNA
Rfam family: Bacterial small subunit ribosomal RNA
Source: RNAcentral
UACGGAGGAUGCGAGCGUUAUCCGGAUUUAUUGGGUUUAAAGGGUGCGUAGGCGGACGCUUAAGUCAGCGGUAAAAUUGCGGGGCUCAACCUCGUCGAGCCGUUGAAACUGGGUGCCUUGAGUGGGCGAGAAGUACGCGGAAUGCGUGGUGUAGCGGUGAAAUGCAUAGAUACCACGCAGAACUCCGAUUGCGAAGGCAGCGUACCGGCGCCCAACUGACGCUGAAGCACGAAGGCGUGGGUAUCGAACAGG